UUUUAUUAUGGCUCAGGAUGAACGCUAGCUACAGGCUUAACCCCUGCAAGUCGAGGGGCAUCAGUUUGGUUUGCUUGCAAACCAAAGCUGGCGACCGGCGCACGGGUGAGUAACACGUAUCCCACCUGCCUCAUACUCGGGGAUAGCCUUUCGAAAGAAAGAUUAAUAUCCGAUAGCAUAUAUUUCCCGCAUGGGUUUUAUAUUAAAGAAAUUCGGUAUGAGAUGGGGAUGCGUUCCAUUAGUUUGUUGGGGGGGUAACGGCCCACCAAGACUACGAUGGAUAGGGGUUCUGAGAGGAAGGUCCCCCACAUUGGAACUGAGACACGGUCCAAACUCCUACGGGAGGCAGCAGUGAGGAAUAUUGGUCAAUGGACGCGAGUCUGAACCAGCCAAGUAGCGGGAAGGAUGACUGCCCUAUGGGUUGUAAACUUCUUUUAUAUGGGAAUAAAGUUGUCCACGUGUGGAUUUUUGUAUGAACCAUAUGAAUAAGGAUCGGUUAACUCCGUGCCAGCAGCCGCGGUAAUACGGAGGAUCCGAGCGUUAUCCGGAUUUAUUGGGUUUAAAGGGAGCGUAGAUGGAUGUUUAAGUCAGUUGUGAAAGUUUGCGGCUCAACCGUAAAAUUGCAGUUGAUACUGGAUAUCUUGAGUGCAGUUGAGGCAGGCGGAAUUCGUGGUGUAGCGGUGAAAUGCUUAGAUAUCACGAAGAACUCCGAUUGCGAAGGCAGCCUGCUAAGCUGCAACUGACAUUGAGGCUCGAAAGUGUGGGUAUCAAACAGGAUUAGAUACCCUGGUAGUCCACACGGUAAA
This 806-nucleotide ribosomal RNA is filed under the name uncultured Bacteroidota bacterium. RNAcentral describes it as "bacterial SSU rRNA". It matches the Rfam family "Bacterial small subunit ribosomal RNA", at positions 12 to 806 of the family's 1533-position model. The record is from RNAcentral. Lineage: Bacteria; Pseudomonadati; Bacteroidota.